This 555-nucleotide ribosomal RNA is filed under the name uncultured bacterium. Its description in RNAcentral is "partial 16S ribosomal RNA". It matches the Rfam family "Bacterial small subunit ribosomal RNA", at positions 355 to 902 of the family's 1533-position model. The record is from RNAcentral.
UGGGGAAUUUUGGACAAUGGGGGAAACCCUGAUCCAGCCAUCCCGCGUGUGCGAUGAAGGCCUUCGGGUUGUAAAGCACUUUUGGCAGGAAAGAAACGUCGCGGGUUAAUACCCCGCGGAACUGACGGUACCUGCAGAAUAAGCACCGGCUAACUACGUGCCAGCAGCCGCGGUAAUACGUAGGGUGCAAGCGUUAAUCGGAAUUACUGGGCGUAAAGCGUGCGCAGGCGGUUCGGAAAGAAAGAUGUGAAAUCCCAGAGCUUAACUUUGGAACUGCAUUUUUAACUACCGGGCUAGAGUGUGUCAGAGGGAGGUGGAAUUCCGCGUGUAGCAGUGAAAUGCGUAGAUAUGCGGAGGAACACCGAUGGCGAAGGCAGCCUCCUGGGAUAACACUGACGCUCAUGCACGAAAGCGUGGGGAGCAAACAGGAUUAGAUACCCUGGUGGUCCACGCCCUAAACGAUGUCAACUAGCUGUUGGGGUCUUCGGACCUUGGUAGCGCAGCUAACGCGUGAAGUUGACCGCCUGGGGAGUACGGUCGCAAGAUUAAAAACUC